UAGGGGUAAACAAGAAGCCUUUCACUUUCAGUUGAACAAAAACCCCAAAGACGGAGAAGAUUUCGAUGGACCGCCAAACUAAUCAACUCAACUUCUGUCUGAAAUUGGAUUUCACCACCAACAGCAUUGUAGUCCUUUAAUCUUUUGACAGCCACGACAGUUCCAUUAUUUAAGCGGCCCUUGUACACAACUCCAAAUCCUCCGCUACCCAAAAUGUUUUUUGAGCUGAAAUGAUCAGUUGCAGUUCGCAAUUCCUUAAAGACAUACCUUUUCAAG
Molecule: unclassified non-coding RNA, 276 nt
Filed under: Hevea brasiliensis (rubber tree)
Lineage: Eukaryota; Viridiplantae; Streptophyta; Magnoliopsida; Malpighiales; Euphorbiaceae
Source: RNAcentral